GUUAUUUUCGGGGAUGGCACCUUCAUCAGCGCAACUGCGCAUGGAUCAUAUAAAAUUUAUCCUCAUGGUGGAGGUGUUCUUCUUAUUGAUAAGGAUGGUGGGGUGGUGUACACAUCUAAACAGUCUCAAGAGCAAUCAGAGAGGAACCCACUAGGCCAAUAUGUGAUGAACCACAGAGCAGAUGUCCUAUGUCAUGUGACAGACCCCGAGGGGAACCACUUUCAAGUUAAUGCAGAUGGGCAGGUUACUAUCAUGGCUAAUGGAUCAGAAACAAAAGAGCCAGAGACAGAAACAGAGCUUCACCAGAAUGCUGGCUUUAAAACACACCCAC
RNAcentral lists this long non-coding RNA (331 nucleotides) under Sinocyclocheilus anshuiensis. RNAcentral's name for it is "lncRNA (ENSSANG00000027973.1)". Lineage: Eukaryota; Metazoa; Chordata; Actinopteri; Cypriniformes; Cyprinidae. The record is from RNAcentral.